GUGCUCACUUUGGCAGCACUAAAAUUUGAAUGAUACAGAAAAUAUUGUCCCUGAGCAAGAAUGGCAUGCAAAUUUGUGAAGUGUUCCAUAUUUUC
Small nuclear RNA from Colobus angolensis palliatus, 95 nucleotides. Lineage: Eukaryota; Metazoa; Chordata; Mammalia; Primates; Cercopithecidae. The record is from Ensembl.